GGAGGAAGGACAAAUAAUUAUUCACAGCGAUCAGGUUCUACUUCUGCCCAGGAUAUGGUUCUUUCAUCUGGAUCUGGCCGCCGGGGACACCAUUUAUUGCAACCAAGGUCUGCAUUAUGGAUGGAAAGAAGAGGUGAUGGUGGACUUGGUCUUCCCUAUUCAUUACGAACUUUGGCUACUUCCGGUGAAGGAAGUGACAAUAACAGACUUGUAUCUGAG
RNAcentral lists this unclassified non-coding RNA (219 nucleotides) under Hevea brasiliensis (rubber tree). Lineage: Eukaryota; Viridiplantae; Streptophyta; Magnoliopsida; Malpighiales; Euphorbiaceae. The record is from RNAcentral.